AUUGAACGCUGGCGGCAUGCCUUACACAUGCAAGUCGAACGGGGGUAGCAAUACCCUAGUGGCGAACGGGUGAGUAAAGCAUCGGAACGUACCCAGUCGUGGGGGAUAACGUAGCGAAAGUUACGCUAAUACCGCAUACGUCCUGAGGGAGAAAGCGGGGGAUCGCAAGACCUCGCGCGAUUGGAGCGGCCGAUGUCGGAUUAGCUAGUUGGUAGGGUAAAAGCCUACCAAGGCGACGAUCCGUAGCUGGUCUGAGAGGACGACCAGCCACUCUGGGACUGAGACACGGCCCAGACUCCUACGGGAGGCAGCAGUGGGGAAUUUUGGACAAUGGGGGAAACCCUGAUCCAGCCAUGCCGCGUGAGUGAAGAAGGCCUUCGGGUUGUAAAGCUCUUUCAGACGGAAAGAAAUUGCGCAGGUAAAUAAUCUGUGUAGAUGACGGUACCGUAAGAAGAAGCACCGGCUAACUACGUGCCAGCCGCCGCCGUAA
Molecule: ribosomal RNA, 490 nt
Filed under: uncultured bacterium
Lineage: Bacteria
Description: partial 16S ribosomal RNA
Rfam family: Bacterial small subunit ribosomal RNA
Source: RNAcentral